Molecule: non-coding RNA, 34 nt
Filed under: Lentilactobacillus farraginis DSM 18382 = JCM 14108
Lineage: Bacteria; Bacillati; Bacillota; Bacilli; Lactobacillales; Lactobacillaceae
Description: L31-Firmicutes ribosomal protein leader
Rfam family: L31-Firmicutes ribosomal protein leader
Source: RNAcentral
CUCUGGGCCAUCAUAUUGGCUCAGGGCAAAGGAG